GCCCCGAAGCACCCGCCCCGAGGGCCGCGCUUCGCGGCCGCCGCGCCGCCCUUCGCAGGGGCGCGGUGCCAGGUGCGGCCGCCGCGAGGAAAAUGGAACCGUGAGCCCGCCCGAGCUGCAGGCGCCCGAGGUGGACCUCUCUUAACGUUUACUGAAACAAUAUCUGAGUGAUGUCAUACCUUUUGGGAAAGUCACACCCGUUUCAUGUAGACUCAGCUACAAUAGAGUUAGAGGAUGUUGUAAUGGUUGAAAGGGUACUCUGGAAUCAGACUUGCUGGAUUUGAUCCCAUUUCUACAUCACUGCUACCUCAAGAAGUUCCUUCACAUUGCUGUGCCUCAGUUUUCUCAUCUUUAACAGAAAUUUUCAGAAAGAAGAUCAUAGAUUCCUCACAUGUGGUGACUGGCCAGACAGACCAGUACGUAGACCCUACUGUAAACAAAGCAAAGAAACAGAUAAGACACAGCAGAGUUACUACUGACUUGUCUAUAUAUUUGACAUAUAACAUACCUUUAUUUCCAUUCCUCAAGAGCAACAUGGUCUGCCUUGUGAUACUACAGUUGAACAGAGCACAUGGGUUUGAAUUGCACAGGUCCUUUUAUGUGGAUUUUCUUUUGAUAAAUACAGUACAGUGCAGUAAACAUAUUUUCUCUUCUUUAUACUUUAAUUAACAAUAGUUUCUUUUCGGGCCACCUGGGUGGUUCAGCCGUUAAACGUCUGCCUUUGGCUCAGGUCAUAAUCCCAGGGUCCUAAAAUUGAGCC
Long non-coding RNA from Lutra lutra (Eurasian river otter), 760 nucleotides. RefSeq lists it as uncharacterized. Lineage: Eukaryota; Metazoa; Chordata; Mammalia; Carnivora; Mustelidae. The transcript is spliced from 4 exons. The record is from RefSeq and is a predicted model, not a curated record.